This 464-nucleotide ribosomal RNA is filed under the name uncultured bacterium. Its description in RNAcentral is "partial 16S ribosomal RNA". It matches the Rfam family "Bacterial small subunit ribosomal RNA", at positions 339 to 795 of the family's 1533-position model. The record is from RNAcentral.
CUACGGGAUGCACCAGUGGGGAAUACUGCACAAUGGGCGCAAGCCUGAUGCAGCCAUGCCGCGUGUAUGAAGAAGGCCUUCGGGUUGUAAAGUACUUUCAGCGGGGAGGAAGGGAGUAAAGUUAAUACCUUUGCUCAUUGACGUUACCCGCAGAAGAAGCACCGGCUAACUCCGUGCCAGCAGCCGCGGUAAUACGGAGGGUGCAAGCGUUAAUCGGAAUUACUGGGCGUAAAGCGCACGCAGGCGGUUUGUUAAGUCAGAUGUGAAAUCCCCAGGCUCAACCUGGGAACUGCAUCUGAUACUGGCAAGCUUGAGUCUCGUAGAGGGGGGUAGAAUUCCAGGUGUAGCGGUGAAAUGCGUAGAGAUCUGGAGGAAUACCGGUGGCGAAGGCGGCCCCCUGGACGAAGACUGACGCUCAGGUGCGAAAGCGUGGGGAGCAAACAGGAUUAGAUACCCGAGUAGUC